This 267-nucleotide ribosomal RNA is filed under the name Triticum aestivum (bread wheat). Its description in RNAcentral is "partial small subunit ribosomal RNA". Lineage: Eukaryota; Viridiplantae; Streptophyta; Magnoliopsida; Poales; Poaceae. The record is from RNAcentral.
AUGCAGUCAGGGCACGAUCUGAUUGAGUUCUCUCACAUAGCAGCAAUUAUUUUGUAUCUACCUCACCAACACUAUUCAAUUUGUAGAUGGGAUCGAUCUGGUGCAGGAGAAAAACAAAACUUGAGGCGAAGCAUUGGAAAUUGUGUCCAUCGGCAGGAUAGGUGUCAAUUGGUCUUAGUUAGUCUUCGGGGCGGAGUGGAAGAAGGGCGGAGACUCUCGAACGAGGAAAAGGAUCCCUUCGAAAGAAUUGACCGAGGAGCCGUAUGA